Molecule: long non-coding RNA, 485 nt
Organism: Gossypium arboreum
Lineage: Eukaryota; Viridiplantae; Streptophyta; Magnoliopsida; Malvales; Malvaceae
Exons: 2
Source: RefSeq, a predicted model, not a curated record
AAAAACCUAUUUAAAAGCUAAUGCCUAAAAAUCAAAAAAAAAAAAAAGAAGAGUAAAUCGCGACCCUUUGGCGCUCGUCGAACCCUCAACAAAGCCCCUAAGGGCUUCGAGGUGUUCAAAACUAGUGGAGACUUCGAUGGCCGUAGAGGGAAAAGCGAUGGGUGCCAGACGCGUGGAGGAAGUCGUGCGGCGGUGGUGGCGCAGGUGGGAGGAGCGGCUAGGGUUUCCCUUUUUCUUUUUGUUUGGCUGAAAGUGUUUCGUUUUGUGGGCUAGGGUUUAGUUAGGCCUGGGGUUAAUUAUUGUUGGGCUAUCAUUGGGUUUGUAUUUGGACUGUUUGGGAUUAAAUGUUUUGGGCUGGUAAAAUUGGGUUUUAUUUUUUUAUUUUUUUUGGUUUUAUAUUUGUAAUUUAGGUCUUGGGCCAAAAUUGGCCUAUUACAAGCACUAAUUGCUUAAAUAGCAUAAUAAGUGAAUAUGUGAAAUUUAAA